Long non-coding RNA from Amphimedon queenslandica, 589 nucleotides. RefSeq lists it as uncharacterized. The record is from RefSeq and is a predicted model, not a curated record. Lineage: Eukaryota; Metazoa; Porifera; Demospongiae; Haplosclerida; Niphatidae. The transcript is spliced from 5 exons.
AAAAAUUGAAGUGAUUUUUUUAUUUUCCGGAUACUCCAACCACGUGAAUAAACGUGAAUGUCUCAUAUUUAAAAUGGCGGAUUUUUCUUUGUUCGGAGAUUCUCAAUUUUAUUGUUUUCCUAUCAUCCCUUAUAUUAUUUAGAUCUAACUGAGGUAGGAUUAGAGUGAAGGUUGGUUGGGGCCUUGCUAGCAGUUUCAAAAUAAUUUUAAAGACUUAAAGUCAAAUCUACUAUCCUUCAUGGAUUGAUGGUACCAAAGUGUCCAUUAUAUAGAGGCUAUAUAUAGUCUGUACAUGUACAUGUGUAUAUGAGUGAGUUGGUGAAGUGGUUUUAUUGUGUACUUUAUGUGGUAUCUUCUUUAUUCAUUUCCUUUAGAAGUCUUCAGUAAAUAAUCUCACAAUAUCCUUGAGGAUUGUUAUCCUUAUCUUCCACACCUAGCUCACACCACACUCACCUUCUUACAGUUGAGUAAUGUGUCUGUUAUAUUGAUGCCAUUCUCUACCAAUCACUUCAUCAUGUCACAGGAUUAGUGAUAAUGACAACUAGCAGCUGCUUGUGUAUAGUAAGAGCCUACUCCCUCGACACAUCCC